This 435-nucleotide ribosomal RNA is filed under the name uncultured bacterium. Its description in RNAcentral is "partial 16S ribosomal RNA". It matches the Rfam family "Bacterial small subunit ribosomal RNA", at positions 28 to 507 of the family's 1533-position model. The record is from RNAcentral.
GAUGAACGCUGGCGGUAUGCUUAACACAUGCAAGUCGAACGGACUCUUCGGAGUUAGUGGCGGACGGGUGUGUAACGCGUGAGAAUCUGGCUUUGGGUUCGGGACAACCACUGGAAACGGUGGCUAAUACCGGAUGUGCCGAGAGGUAAAAGAGCAAUUGCCUGCAGAUGAGGUCGCGUCUGAUUAGCUAGUUGGUGAGGUAAAGGCUCACCAAGGCAGCGAUCAGUAGCUGGUCUGAGAGGAUGACCAGCCACACUGGGACUGAGACACGGCCCAGACUCCUACGGGGGGCAGCAGUGGAGAAUGUUCCGCAAUGGGCGAGAGCCUGACGGAGCAAUACCGCGUGAGAGAAGAAGGCUCUUGGGUUGUAAACCUCUUUUCGUAGGGAAGAACAAAAUGACGGUACCUAAGGAAUCAGCAUCGGCUAACUACGUG